Oncorhynchus mykiss (rainbow trout) is the source of this 2033-nucleotide long non-coding RNA. RefSeq lists it as uncharacterized. The record is from RefSeq and is a predicted model, not a curated record. Lineage: Eukaryota; Metazoa; Chordata; Actinopteri; Salmoniformes; Salmonidae.
UACCUGACUGGCAACGUUUAUUCUCUCUCUCUCGCGCGUUCUUCACUCCGUUGAGUCCUGUGGAUGAUUUGCUGAAGCAGAACGUCCUCUGCAUUAUGGAAGAUGAUAUGUUAGAAAUGCUUCUUUAGUAUCUACUUAUUGGUAUAGUGAUGUACCUUAAGUCUUGCCCUGGUUAUUAGUUAAGUAGUUAACAGUAGCUACUUUGGAGCAUGGGGACUUGCAGAACCAUGCACGUGGGCAACUCAACGUUUUAAAACCAUGCCGUGCUGUCUGUAUCUGGCCUAUGGACUGAACUGAGGCCGUACUCGCCAAUGACUGCGCACAUGGCAGGCGCUGCCCGGGUGACUUGAUUGCAAGGAGACUUAACCUCGAAAGUGGUUUUGAACAGGUGUGGAACUGAAUCAAUGAUGUGGCUGGAGUGGAGACAUCAUCUUUAAAGGUGUGCAACAGAGCUGUGGAUGGUGUGGAGGCAUCUGAAAAGAUUUGGGAGACUACUCCCUCGUGGCCUGUGGCUGAACCAUACACAUGAAGCCAUACACACGGCAGGAGACUCCACCCCAAAGUACUUAAUGGUGGAGACAUCACCUCAAAAGGUGUGAAGCUGCCCCAAUGAGUUGAUGGCAUGGAGACUUCAUCUGCCAAGGUGUGGAACUGACACAAGGAUGUGGCUGGAGUGGAGACAUCAUCUUUAAAGGUGUGGAACUGAACCAACGCUGUGAAAGGUAGGCUGCCUUUGCAUAAUAUCCCUGCAGUCUCAGAACUGGAUAUGUUGACUGGGGUGUUCCUCAUCUGAUGCCCCUUGCUGAUUUUCAGCCCCAACCUACCCUUCAGGUGCACAGUCACCCGAUCACAAUUUUGAAGUGCCUUUCCUAUCGUCUUGAGUUUUGUUCAGUGGUGAUAUUUAGUUCUGAACUUAGAAGUGGUGUUUAUGGGCCCUCACUUUGAGUGGGAUAUUUAUAAAAUGUGUAAAUGUGACACUUCACCUAUUUUAAGAUGUAAAAAAGUAUAACUGUAUAUGCUGAAUAAUUAAAGUUUUUAAUGUUAGCUUUAUGUAUGAACCCUUUCGUUGUGGAAGCCUGUAAGUUCAGGAGUAAUACAUUUGCCUAGUAAUUCAGAUGUUGCAUGAGUUUGUGCCAUAAUAGCUUUUAAUGUUUUUGCAUGACUACCUCACUUUUCUGUAAGUAAGGUCCCUCAGUCAAGUUCAAACAGACAUGGAGGCUAAGGCCACCUGUUGGUGGAUGGGUUAAAACAGCUGUUAAAUAUCCCUUUAAGGAUAUUUCAUUUAGCUUUGGAUGUUGACUCAAACCUAUUCAAUACAAAGGUACAGGUGUCCUAACACAGUUGCUGCUGCAGGAGUGAACCACUUGGAUUUCAGAAGCAAAUUUUGAUUGAAUGUGAUAGAACAGACUGGAUCUGCGUUCUCGUUAAGCCUGUUGGCUACGAGCUUGAAAUAUACUUACUCGUCUAACUAAUUUGUCUGUUGGUCAAUGAAGUGGUGGCUGAGGAUUUGGCCCCUGGAAAGUUAGCAUGUAAAGUUAAUAUUUCUGUCAGGCCAGCUGCAGCACUUGGGAGGUGCAAGGAAUGAGGUCGAGUCAACAUCAAUUGAGACGGAAUCUUGGGGGACCAGAGGCCUGCCCACAAGGGACUUGAAUCACAUUUUAUUUUGUCAAAUGCUUAGUGAUAUUACAUAAUGCUUACAUACCUUAACCAGCAAGCAGGUAAUGUGUAGGGGUGAGGUGACUGCAUAAAUAAACGGGGCAGAGAAGUGGCGUUAUGGGAUCGACGCAAAUAGGCAGCUUUAAAAAAAAUAAAAAAAAACCUUUAGGCAAGUCAGUUAAGAACAAAUUCUUAUUUUCAAUGACUGCCUAGGAAGUGGGUUAUAUGUAGAAACAAUAUUUAUAGACGCACUUCACAUGUACAGUGCCUUCAGGAUGUAGUCAAACACAUUGGCAUUCAACAUUUGGUUGUUAUAGCCUGAUGUCAAAAUGGAUUAAAUGGCUCACAUUUCAUUUUCAAUAAAUGUAUAAAAUGUU